This 741-nucleotide ribosomal RNA is filed under the name uncultured bacterium. RNAcentral's name for it is "bacterial SSU rRNA". It matches the Rfam family "Bacterial small subunit ribosomal RNA", at positions 28 to 768 of the family's 1533-position model. The record is from RNAcentral.
AUUGAACGCUGGCGGCGUGCUUAACACAUGCAAGUCGAGCGGCAGCGGGCCCGCAAGGGUGCCGGCGAGCGGCGGACGGGUGAGCAAUACAUAGGAAUCUGCCUCAGAGCGGGGGAUAGCCAGGGGAAACCCUGAUUAAUACCGCAUGACGUCGAGAGACCAAAGUGGGGAUCGUAAGACCUCACACUCUGAGAUGAGCCUAUGUCGGAUUAGCUAGUUGGCGGGGUAACGGCCCACCAAGGCGACGAUCCGUAGCUGGUCUGAGAGGACGAUCAGCCACACCGGAACUGAGACACGGUCCGGACUCCUACGGGAGGCAGCAGUGGGGAAUAUUGGACAAUGGGCGAAAGCCUGAUCCAGCGACGCCGCGUGGUGAAGAAGGCCUCGGGUUGUAAAGCCUUUAAGCCGGGACGAAAAGCUGCACCUAACACGUGCGGCCUUGACGGUACCGGAAGAAUAAGCACCGGCUAACUCUGUGCCAGCAGCCGCGGUAAUACAGAGGGUGCGAGCGUUAAUCGGAUUUACUGGGCGUAAAGCGUGUGUAGGUGGCUUCCUAAGUCGGUUGUGAAAUCCCUGGGCUCAACCUGGGAAUUGCAGUCGAUACUGGGAAGCUCGAGUUCGGUAGAGGACGGCGGAAUUCCCGGUGUAGCGGUGAAAUGCGUAGAUAUCGGGAGGAACAUCGAUGGCGAAAGCAACCGUCUGGGGCCUGAACUGACACUGAGACACGAAAAGCGUGGGGGA